GUGGGGAAUUUUGGACAAUGGGCGCAAGCCUGAUCCAGCAAUGCCGCGUGCAGGAAGAAGGCCUUCGGGUUGUAAACUGCUUUUGUACGGAACGAAACGGUCCGGGUUAAUACCCUGGGCUAGUGACGGUACCGUAAGAAUAAGCACCGGCUAACUACGUGCCAGCAGCCGCGGUAAUACGUAGGGUGCAAGCGUUAAUCGGAAUUACUGGGCGUAAAGCGUGCGCAGGCGGUUUUGUAAGACAGGCGUGAAAUCCCCGGGCUCAACCUGGGAAUUGCGCUUGUGACUGCAAGGCUGGAGUGCGGCAGAGGGGGAUUGAAUUCCGCGUGUAGCAGUGAAAUGCGUAGAUAUGCGGAGGAACACCGAUGGCGAAGGCAAUCCCCUGGGCCUGCACUGACGCUCAUGCACGAAAGCGUGGGGAGCAAACAGGAUUAGAAACCCCUGUAGUCC
RNAcentral lists this ribosomal RNA (450 nucleotides) under uncultured bacterium. RNAcentral's name for it is "partial 16S ribosomal RNA". It matches the Rfam family "Bacterial small subunit ribosomal RNA", at positions 354 to 796 of the family's 1533-position model. The record is from RNAcentral.